CGACGAUGACGCUGUUCUAAUCUCACUUUAUCGUUCAGGUUGACUGUGCUCACAGCCCAUUAGAUGGCCACUGCUUCGCUGCCUCGAAAGUUCCUGUGCCCAUGUCCGCUACAGUCAUCUACGACGAGGAGGAGAAAUUUGCUCUCUCCUAUGGAGCUCAUUGGAAACGGUACGCACAAGUUCUCGUGAAGUUUCUAGUCAGACGGACGGAAGAGACCGCAGCGUACCUUCAUCGUAUGAUAUAUCUUCUUCAUCAGAUACAUUAAUACAUAAAGCUCGCCCGGUGUUGUCUUCGCUCACGGUUCACUAUGUACGACAACCAACUAAACGUUCCACUAUGA
Ornithodoros turicata is the source of this 341-nucleotide long non-coding RNA. RefSeq lists it as uncharacterized. The transcript is spliced from 3 exons. The record is from RefSeq and is a predicted model, not a curated record. Lineage: Eukaryota; Metazoa; Arthropoda; Arachnida; Ixodida; Argasidae.